ACGGCCAUACCACAAACACCGGUUCUCGUCCGAUUACCGAAGUUAAGCAAUGUCGGUCAGUACUUGGGAGGGUGACCACCUGGAAAAACCGGGUGCUGUUGGCU
Cordylochernes scorpioides is the source of this 104-nucleotide non-coding RNA. NCBI's taxonomy places the organism in Eukaryota, Metazoa, Arthropoda, Arachnida, Pseudoscorpiones, Chernetidae. The record is from the annotation of a GenBank genome assembly.